GGCCAUACAUAAAAUGAGUUGAGUUUUCGAAGUAUGCUUUUAACAUACUAAUAAGUAAUAGUAAUAUCUUCCAGAAGAAAAGCUCCAAUAGAAAAAAACAAAUUUAUCAAUGGAAACGAAUUGCAAAACUAGGGUUUCUGCUAAAAUUCAGCCACAAAGAAACACAGAAAUCCCUAAAGAAGUUCAUCAUUAGACAAAAGCACGGCUGCUGGUCUUACAAGCAACAAUAGAUUCACUUAUCAAAUAAAACCGAUACACCAUAUUUCAAGCAAAUGUAAACGCGAUGAAAUCACAGGAGGAGGAGAGAAGCACGAAGUUUAUACUAGUUAAUGUCUUCAUCGUCGAAAUCGUCCUGGAAGGAGUUGAAGAAAUCCGCAUCGACCAAGCGGUGGAGGUCAAAAAUUGGCCCCUCGCCAAAGAGAUCUAAGGAUGAAUCGACGUCAUCGACGUCCAUCGCCACCGUGACACCGCCGCUCUGCUCUUCCGCCUCCCCAAAGUAGUCCAUCGCCACCGUCUUCAUUCUGCCACGUGCUUUCCUUUCGCUUCUAUAUUUACUAGAAAAACAUUCCAAUAUGUUUAGUCAGAUUCCUUCGCUUUUUCUCAACCCUCACAAGUAAUUGGGUAUAAAAAGAAGAAAAAUGAACAUAAAUCUAGCUAUACAUCCUGUUCUACAACAGAUCUGGUCGAUUUAGGUGAUAAAUCGCUGAUCCACAUACUAACAGAAACAUCAACACACCUGAUGCACCAAAUUUAGCAAAUCUAUCGACGAAAAAAAACAAGUAAACGAUGAACCAAAGUAUUAGUACAUCGGGAUUAGAUAGAGAAAACGGAGAGGAGAGGAGCAGGAAGGUUAAAGAUGAGUGUGUAUAAUUGUGUAAACAGUGAAGAUAGAGGAAAUUUAUUGCUUUUUUGUGAAGGUUUUGAAUCUGGAUUGGAAUUUUGGCAGUUGCUUUUGGCUUGGGUGGGAAAAAGCAAUUUCGGAAGCCGGAAAAUUUUCACAUCCGGGCUCAAUUACGAUUCUGCCCUUGUCCUUGCGUCCAAGUACAGCUUCUCUGCUGUCUGGAUUUUGUCAUUAUUUAUAGUUAAUCAAUUAGGCUUUACAUACCAAUUUUAUGGGCUUAAAUUCAUAUAUCUCAUGUAUGGGCCUAGCCCAAAUAUAUGCUUUCAAUUCUUUUCGUCGUAGAUAAGACAACUAGCUUCUUUUUAAAGAUUACUGACUUUCAUCUAAUAUCUACUAGUACAUUCGCCCGUGCGAUGCACGGCGAACAUAGUUUUGCAUUAAAAUUAAACGAUGUAGCGUGUGUAUCGAUUAAGCGAUUAGGAGUUAAUGUCUAAAACCGAAUGUCUUGGGUUCGAGUCCAUGUGGCUUGGCCUUUAAAUUUCUUUUUUUAAUCAUGUUAAUUUAUCAAAAAUAAAUAAAUUAAAUGAUGUAUCAAAUAAAUAAAAAAUAAAUAUUAAACAUAGCGAGAAUAUAAGUAAAUGUAAAUUAUUUUUUCUUAAAAAAUAAAAUAAUCUACAUCAAUUACUCAGUAAAGAUCCUUAAUUUUAUUUUAUAAUUUUGAAAAGUAUCAUUUUUUAUUUUCCAUCUAUUUUAUGGAAAACUUUAUUUUCUUCCUUAAAAUUAUAGAAUAAACACAUCAUUCAAAUUAAAAGAAACGAAGAAACAAUAAAAAAAGAGUUUUCACAUCACAAUAUAUAGUUUUAAAACAUAAGCUAAUCAUGCAUAAAAUUAAUUUUUUCUAAGUUAGCUCAUUACCUAUGUCAUCUUAUUAGAAAAACUUCAAUUGAUAAGUAAGAAAAUAAAUUAUAUUAUUAGAAUUUAUUAGAAAACUAAUAAAAGAGUUGAAUAAUUAUUUGAUACCAAAUCAAAGAUUUUGCAUUCAUCUUUAAUUUAAGAUGUAUAUAGAAUAUUUUUUAUAAAUAAAAUUUGAUUUUAUUAAAAAAUCAACAAAAUAUGAAAAAGAGAAUAUGAGAGAGAGAGAGAGAAUAGAAAAUUGAAGAAUGUGUAUGAUGAAAGAGAGGAGAGAGGAGAGAGAAAAUAUAUGAGAUAUGAGAUUUGAUGAGUUUUAUAAAUACUCUUUAAUUGAUUUUUUUAAUUAUAAUUUUGUCACAAACUAUGUUUUCAUAUAAUAAAUAGUUUUCUCCGCUUGGAAUUGUAAUUCACUGCUGAAACCGGGCCUAUAUAUGCGGGCUAGACGGGCCUGGUUGUUAUGGACCUGGGGCAGGCCCAUAAUGCGCUAAAUUACUGGAAAUACUUUCUUAGAUUAAAAAUUAGGGAAAAUAGCACCAAAAUACUUGUAGUUUCGCGAAAUUCGCAUAUUUCCCUUGAUUUUCAAAACAUAGUGAUAAAAUCCUUGAUCGUUUAUCUGAUGCUUAAUUUUCCCUUAAAAUUGAUCGGCCCUUAAAAUUAUGAUAACAUGGCUGUCGGAAAUCCACGUAGGAUCAAAUUUCCGGCGAAGCAAACGAUAAGUACUCACUUAAAACGACGUAGUUUUAUAUCUAAUUAGGGGAUUUAAUGAAUUCCAAAUCAAAAAAUCAGGGCAAAUUUCUUUUCGAAUUGAAAUUAGGGUUCUUGAGAGCAAAAACCCAAUCCAUGUCUUCGUCUUUGUCAUCCCGCCGGAGCUUCACCCAUGAGGGUCGAGUAAAAUGUGGCCAUGGACUCCCAGCUUCAAUGUAUGUAUCACACACUGAUAAGAAUCCGGAGCGGCGAUUUUAUACAUGCCCUCGUCCUUCGGUAAGUUUUCGAUUUUGAGAAUUAUGGUUUUAAUCAUUUGAAAAUAGUGGAACGAUUGUCUUGGAAUGUUCAUGUAGUCGAAUGAUUGUGGAUUGUGGACUUGGAUUGAUCCUGAGCUGUCUCCAUUCUAUAAGCAAGCCUUCAAUACCUUAAAGCUUCGAAUGAGGAAUGAAUUACCAAAAACUGAGCCGUAUGGUGGAGCGGAUGAAUCUGAGUUGAAGGCCAUGAUGAAAGAACUUCAAGAAGAGCUCAAUGAAAUGGCAUUGAAGAUGAAGCACAUGUAUAGAUUGGUUGUUGUGUUUGUAGUUUUCUUUGUUGUUUUUAUUGCACUCAAAUGAAGGUGAAUUGUGUCACCAUUGUAUGGAUCCUUAUUAGCAUUGGAAUGAAAUGCAAAUUUGCACUUUUGUUGAAAUCUUUCCUUGCUUGAUAUCUAAUUAUGAAAUCUAACUCCAUUCAACUGAAACUAAAUUCUAUGAAAGCAAGAAGUGAUACAAAUGAUUCCAAAUUAUGCGAAAUCAACUCCAUUCAACAGAAACUGUCUUUACAAACUGUCAACCAAAGAUAAAAUCAUUCCAAAAGUAUUCUAGCUUAAAAUAAACUAACUUAAAUAGUCUUCACAAAAAGAAACCAUUGCCAAACACAAAAUAUUCAAGUCUUCAACAAAAAACCACAGUGGACAGCCUUCUAGCUUUCCAUAUUACUUGGUCCAGCUGUGCUCUCUUGAGUUUGAGGAAUUUGUGUAGUAGAUGAAUUGUCUUUGCUUGUUGAACCUCCAGCCCUCCUAACAUGUGUCAGUCCACUUUGUUGUGGUGACUGAUUCAAUAGAGAGUUACCAUCUAGAUUGAGUAUCAUCAUAGAGUUUAAUUGGAGAAUUUAAAGCAUCUUACCCUGUAAUAGAUAUUUCCAGAGCCUGCAACAUAGCAACCUACACCUUGUUUUGCCGCAUUCCUCUCCCUCGCCUCUCACUAUCCCAGACUCAGUAUUGCCUUCCCUGCCACGACCUCUUCCUCUUCCCCUUCCCCUCCCUCUUCCUCUUGUUUGAGAACUCUCAUCUGCUCUUGUAUUAGAACUCUCCUCCAUUUGGUUGUGUUCUUGUUUCAGUGUUUGUAGCACUCCCCUCAUUAGCAACAUUUCUAGUCCUUGGCCUUCCAGGCUUGCCCUACAUGCAUAACAUUAUGUUAUAAAGCAGUCAACAUACAUACCUGCUCUUUGGGUGGUUUAACCACUGUCAUGUUUUUGCAUCCUCUAGAGUUAUGUCCUGCUUGGCCACAGUUUUUGCAAGUAACUUUUUGACCUUGUCUUCUUAGCUUGUUAUGAUUGAUAGGAUCCACCUCAUGUGCUGCCCUCUUCCUCUUCAAUUUAGGCCUUCCUGGCAUCUUCCUUAUGGCAGGAGGUUUGACAACGUAUCCCUCAACUGCCGGCCACAUUCGUUGCCCAUUCAAUGGCUCUAAGCCAAAUGAGUAGGCUUGCUUGUAUCUCUCAAUGGUAUAGUAGUCACUAACAAAUUUAGCAGGAUCUUGAUCCAUGAACUCAGUAGCAGCUAUACCAUGAAUGCAAGGAAUGACUACCAUUUGCCACACUCUACAUGUGCAUGUUCUAGUUUCCACAUGGACAACAAAUUUAUCACCCUCCAUGUCAAUUUCAAACUUACCCCCCAAUGCAGGGUAAGGAAUGCAGUGCUUUGAUUGUGCAUUUAGUUUUUCCAGUUUCUUUCUAAUCGAUGGUGUAAGGGUAUCAUCAACCUUCUCAAUGUCACUUAGUUUCUUAACUUGCCUAACCAUCAAACUAAUCCUAAUCUCCUCUAACAUGUGGAUAACAUGUUUUCCUCCAGCGUUCAAAAUAUAUCCAUUGAAAGUCUCGGAUAUAUUGUUAUCCACCAUGUCAGAGCACACAUUAGCCGAUAGGAAUACCUUGCAAAACUUCUUCACAUCUCUAUGUAUGAAGUCCUGAAAUGCAGCCACAUCUUCUUGCUUCAUAUCUUCAAUUGCUUGUUUGUAAUCCUCCAAGUAUGUAGAUCUCACUGCCCUCCAGAAAAUGUUCUUGAGUAUGGCUCCUUUAUGCUCUUUUUUUCAGUUCAUGUACACAUGCCGAGCACAAUUUCUAUGCUCGGCAUAAGGUACCAGUAGGUUCACCACUGCUUCAAGACCCUACAAACACCACACUAUAAGCAUUAGGCAAUGAAACUGUUAUAAGCAAUAGGAAAUAAAACAAGAGUUAAAUACCUUUUGUUGAUCUGAUAUAAAGGUCCAGCCAUCACCACUUCCAAUUUCCAAAUCCUCAACAAGACAUUUCAUGAACCAUGUCCAACAAUGUUCAUUCUCUAUCUCUACAGCUGCCCAAGCUAUGGGAUACAUUUGAUUGUUCUCAUCUUUACCUAUUGCACAAGUAGAAUACCCCCUAAAAAUGUCUUCAAAUGACAACCAUCUAGGCCCACAACAGGCCUACAACCUGCCUUAAAACCCUUCCUCAGUGAGCUAUAUCCCAUGUACAAACCCUUGAAUAAAUUUCCAUCUGCCAAAAGCAAUUCAAAUCGACCCUCUCGAUCAACUCUCCUAUUUUCAGCCAAGUAUCUCCUAAUGAGAGCAUAGUGCUCAUCCACAGUCCCUCGAAUGAGUUCAAGAGCCUUCUGCUUGCUCUAUAAAGCCUAUCCUUAUGCACUUUAGUGGCAAAUCUCUGCCAUAUAUCUCCCUCAAUCAGCAUAGACAAAUGAGGUCUAACUUUAAAGACAUUGAUGUACCUCUUAGUAUCCAAUUACUACUCAUUAACUUAUUGUUCAUUGCCUUUCCACAUCUAUGUCUACCCCCAAUGGUUUUGAUUUUGAAUGAGCCAUCUCUCUACCCUCUAGCAUAAAUCCUCCAUGGACAACUAGACUUACAGUAUGCCUCACAGAAAUCAUCUACACCCUCUUGAAAUGAACAAAUUUGUGGUUCUCAAUUGCCCAAUUUUGGAUUGCAGCCCUGCAUUGCUAACCAUCCUGAAAUCAAGGCCUAGAUGGAGAUCUAAUUCCUUAUGAUUGCAUUUAGGGUCAUAUACUACCUUCUUCUUUUUUUCCCUAACCACAACCUCCUCUUCAUCAAUUUCAGAUGAAUCAACAUCCCCUUCACUAGCAGCAUAAUCAGAGUCUACAUCUAUAUUCCCUACUAAGUCUUGUUCUGUUCUUACAUCAUCAUCAAUCAACUAAAAAAUAUUGGGCCUUUUUGCUAACCUUCUUCUAGACUGGACAUAUUCUUCAUCAUCUGAAACUAACUCAUCAUCUGCUAAACCAUCAAACACAUUAUGAUCAUCAGAACCCUCUAUAGAAGGGGUUUAGUCACUAUCUUCUUCACUCACAUCUUCAUCUCUCUAAUCAUCCCUUCCCUCUAAACCCCCCAGCCCAUCUCUUCCCCCCUCUUCUCCCUGAUCAUCCCUUCCUUCUACACCCCCCUGCCCAGCUCUUCCCUCCUCUUCUCCCUGAUCAUCACUUCCUUCUAAACUCUCCUGCCCAUCUCUUUCCUCCAAUUCUACCUGAUCAUCUCUACUAUCUGAACCUUGAACUUCCACUUCCAAGUCCUUAUCAUUACCUAAAUCAAUAUCAUCCCCAUCAUCUGCCAUCUCCCCACCCUCAACAUAGACAAUUAGUACUCUUUGUUUAGGUUCUAAAGUACCCAAAAGUUCCAUUACCUGCCUAUCUGAAUUUAUAGUCUUAUAGGUACUACUUUCCUCUAGUCUCCAUCAAAUAUCUGCCCAUUUUGUGUAGCCUAGUUGUUCUAUGAUUUCAGUUAAAUCAAAAUAGCCAAAUAAAUCGGGAUCAAGAUGAGACCUCCAAUCAACCCACACCACCAACAUAAACAUCAACCCCAUUAACUGGUUCAAACCGACCCCCAUGACGCACAAACAAAGAAAAUACAUCACUGUAACAAGCAAAACAAUAAACCAUAAAUCAGCAACAAAACAUCGACAACAUGCAUUGCAAAAGAUAACUCUAACUACACUUACAUGCAAUAAAUUAAUUACCAUCAACUACAACAAAAUAACCAAACCAAAAAUACCAUCUUUCAAUAAGCACUUACGGAUUAGACAUCGCUGGUGACGAUGAAGAUAGUUGGAACACUUCAAAACGGCGAGAAGGCACCUUUCUUCUUCCUCAGACGGCGAUGGCAGAUAAGGAGUUUGAAGCGACUGUUGGUGUUUUUUACCUUUCAAAGUUAUCUUUUACAAUCUAAUUACAGUAGGGUUAUUUAAUUCGUGUAGAAAACGACGUUUUGCGUCUAAUUUAAUGACUCAGCACAAGCCUUGCCACAUAGGUGACACAUCAAUGCAAUUAGGUGCCGGAAAACGUCAUUAAGGGGAAAUUAAGCAUCGGAUAAACGGUCAAGGAUUUUAUCACUAUGUUUUGAAAGUCAAGGGAAAUAUGCGAAUUUCGCGAAACUACAAGGAUUUUGGUGCUAUUUUCCCUAAAAAUUACUUAGUUCCCUAAUAAUUAAUAAAAGCAAAGAAUUGUAUUUAACUCAUUAAAAAAUAGAUUAAUUGUUGGUUAAUGUACGAAUUUAUACCCCUUUAGCAAUUUUAUGGAGUAUAAUCUUUGAAACGUUGCAAUAACGUCAAUAUACUUUGAUUUGUUACAAAAUUAAAACUUUUAAUUUGUUUUUUUGGUAAAUUUACAAUAUUAGAUAAAGAAAUUAAGAGCAACAUCACAGGGACUCGAACCCCUCGAACCCAAGACCUUUGACUUUAGACAUUAACCCCUUACCGCUUGACCAACACACGCACAAUCAUCAAAAAAUUAACUUGUCUUGCUUCAUUGAGUAUCCCCAAAUUAGGAUUGCAUGGUUUUAAUAUUUUUGGUUCGAUCAAGAUUAGGUUAAAUAUACCAACUUUCAUAUAACAAGAAACUUAACUAGUGAUUAGGGAUGUCAAUGCAGCCCGAAACCCGUGGGCCGACCCGAAUAACCCGACAAAAUUAGAGGGUUAGGGUUGAAAAAUCGCAACCCGAAAAAACCUUAAGCCCGAUUAGCCCGCACCCGACUAACCCGGAACCCGAUAGGGCUAGCCCGAAAACCCGAUGGGCUGGCCCGGUGGGCUGACAAAAUUGUGACUGAUGCAUUCAGUUACAACUUCUGCUAUGUUUAGAUCUAUGGUAUUUGCUUCAAUAUAUAUAUGUAGCCUCAUUAAAAAAAGUGAAAUUAAUUAGUUAGAAUAUGUGUGUGUGUGUGCGAUUUUAUUAAGAAAAGAAAAGAAAAACCAAAAACAACCCUUGAAAGCACAAGAAAAGCAGACUAAGGGCGGAGCCUCAUUAACACCUUUUCAUGGAAAACCCCAAGGGAAAAACCAUGAAAAGGAAAAAGAGUACCCGUCUACUGGAAAACAAAAACGAAAAAGGAGAGAGCGGAAGGGAUAGUUUCCGUAACUUCGGCCUAACCAUCGUCCCCAAACAAUCCCGGCUCUCUCCCCAACAAAGAAACAGAAACAAGAGCAAAAAGGCCGGUGAAACGCCGUCGCCAAAAAGCCACGCACCCCAACCAGCAAGAUAACCAGAGAGCCAAUGAACCAUUCGAACAAUCAUCUCGACCGGAUGUGGCUAUGAGUGGCCAUAUCCAGAUUUACCGCAACCUGGAUUUCCUCAAUGGCGUGGGGCCGCCAUCCUUCCUCUCUCGCAUGAUUCGCCAUAAUGUCAGCAGGUUUAUUUCCUUCUCUAUAGAUAUGAGACACUUGAAGUUGAAAGCAAGAAAGAAUGCUCAAAACUUUGUUCCAAGAAGCCACAAACCGCCAAGGUACCGCCGUAGAACGCUCUGAAAGCAAAUGAACGAUAUACGUUGAGUCCGACUCUACCCAAAGAUAAUGCCAGCCCCGGUCAUGAGCUAUCAAAAUGGCUUUAAUGACAGCAAGGAGUUCAGCUUCAAAAGCAAACCCCACCCCCCCUUGUAAUGAAAACAGCCGCGGACCCAGCUGAAGUUGUCCCGGAAGACACCACCCGCAGCAAUGUUUCCAGGGGAGCCCAUCGCCGAUCCAUCAGUGUUAACCUUGAUCCAAGGGGAAGCCGGGGGCCACCAAUGCACCGUUAUAAACUCCAUCGGAGGUGCAGCGCGCGAACCGACCCCAAUAGCCGAAGGAUCGAAUAUUUUCCAAGAAUUAUUCAUAUGUCCGAGUUAAAGUUAUUCUCCAUUUCUUUGUAAGACACCUUUACAGACGAAUGAUUUGUCAUGAUCAAAUUUGCAUUAUCAAAUAUGCAAGAAUUCCUGAGAGACCAGAUAGCCCAUAAAUACGAUGAUACCCGCUCUCCAAUACAGUCCAACUGAGAACUCAGUUAUGGCCCAAGCACGAACAAGGAAACUAUGAAUAUCUGGAGCCACAAUAGCUCAGUGAAUUGAAACCAAGUUAAAAACUCAAGCCAAAUAGUACGAACUUGGCUGCAAGACCACAAGAUGUGAUCAAUGGUCUCCUCCGCAGCGAAACAAAAGACACAAUGAUUGGGCAUAAUCAUUCCGUGUCUGAUCAACGAUCAUAAGUCGGAGACGUCCAUGAAGGACUCUCCAACAGAUUAAAGAACGACGCACCGGAAUAUAAGGUUUCCAAAUCCAAGACCCCAGCUUACUUAGGAAACCUAUGGCAAUUAUUAGAAAAAGCGAGAGCAGCAGUACGCGCCAUGCAGAGAAGGUUUCCAAAACGAGUGUCCUUAUGAUUGCCGAGAGGGAAACAAGAUGUCGGCACAAUUUCCGGAUAAUUAUUAAUAAACUCUUGAGUAAAAUGCCAAAUCCAUCAUAAAAAUAGUCACCACCGAAUGGCGAGAAGAUUCGCAACAAAAUGAGGAACCACAUUUUUCAAUGAUUUAUAACCAACCAAUCGUCGCACCAGAAGUUCGUGGAAGUCCCAUCACCAACAUAGCAAUAAGAAUUAUCAACCAGAGCACUAACCUCAUCUCUUAGACCCAGCCAAACCGAAGAAGAAGUAGAAUCACACCUCACCCUUCCAAACACAUCCAAAAAGCGAGAAUGAAGCAUCUGAAAUCCGAAACCCUUGCCACAUAUAACCUUUCAAGCCAUCUUCAUCAGAAAACAUUUAUUCAUAAUAGAGAACGAAUGAACACCCAAACCCCCUUCCUCCUUAAGGGCGCAGACGCGGCUCCAGGCGACCGAGCAAGACGGAGAUUUCAUGAUAUCCCCGAUCCAAAUAAACUUUCGACACUUCUCAUCAAGCUCAUGAAUCAAGGACCUCGGCCAUUUAUAAACCAACAUAGAAUGAGUCACAGAGCUCUGGAUAACCGAUUUGACCAAGCAAAGACGGCCAGCCAUGGAAAGAAGGCGGCCUCUCCAUCUGGAAAAUUUUGCCACAAUCCGAUCAUGAAUCGAUCGAAAAAAAGAGGCUCUGCCGCGACCAUGAAAAAUAGGCACUCCCAAGUAAGUGAAGGGAGCCCUUCCACACAGGAAGCCCAUCUCCCGCAAAAGAGGUCUUGGAAGAGAAAUAAAUAUGCGAUUUCUCAUUGCUACAGACCUGUCCCGACAUCCAACUAUAGAAGUCAAGAAUCUUCUUAAUCGUCUUAGCAUUUCUAACAGAAGCCUUACAGAAAACCAGGAUACAUAUAAAAGAUGGGUGGGAAACGGAAUAUUACGAGUCAUAUACAUAGGAGUCAGAUGACUAGAAGCAACACAAUUUAUGAACAGAGAGCUAAGGACAUCUUCAGCAAUGCCGAACAGGAUGGGGGAGAGAGGAUCGCCUUGUCGAACACCUCUCGUGCAACCAAAAUAACCAUGAAUCUGACCAUUGUAAAGAAUUGACAAUCUAGCAGAAUGGAGGAUGAUGUCAAUCCAUUUAAUAAAUCUUCCAUUGAACCCGUAAGUUCGAAGCACAUUCAGCAGAAAAUCCCAACAAAGGGUGUCAAAAGCCUUCCUAAUGUCAAUUUUGCAAGCCAUAUUCUGACCAUGCCCCAUGCGACGCAUGGAAUUAAAACCCUCCGAUCCCAGAAGAAUACAGUCAUGAAUAGAGCGACCCUGAAUAAACCCAAAUUGAUUCUGAGAGACAUAAAUCGAAGCAACAAAGCUGAGUCUCGCAGCCAACACCUUAGAGAUAAUCUUGAAGAAAAAGUUGGAUAGAACAAUCGGUCUCAAGUCAGACACCGAAACCACAAUCUUUUUCUUCGGAAUGAGAACCAUUGUCUCGAAUUGCAGCCCGUAGGGAGAUAAGAUCUAAGAAAAAAGCGCGGACACCCUCCAAUAUCUCUUAAUGAUAUCCCACAAACUGAAAGAAUUUACCAGAGAACCCAUCAGGACCUGGGAACUAUUAGAUCCAUGCCAAAAACAGCAGCAGAAAUUUCUUCAUCAGUAGGGAUGCCGAAAGAAUGGCAUUAUGCUCAUCGAAACAACAUGAUCAAUAACUGCCUCAAUAGCUGUAAUGUCAACGUAGAACCCGAAUCAUCAGUAAACAAAUUUGUGAAAUAAUCCACAAUAUGUCCCCAAUACGGUUUGAUCCAACUCCAUAUUCCCAUCGAUCAUCAAGACUGAAUCUUACCAGGCUUAUGUUUAUAACGUAGCGAAGCAUGAAAGAAAGCAGUGUUUCGAUCCCCAUCAUUUAACCAAGAACCCGGCUUUUUUGCUGUAACAGAUGCUCUUCUGGGAGAGCGCCACAUUAAUAUUAGCCUGUGCUUGUAUCUCUUGUCAAAAAGUCAUCCGUAUAACCUGGGAAGAAAUCUCAUCUGGAUAUCCAUCAAAUCUUUCUGAGCAGCAGCACAAACUUGUCAACAUGCCCAAAAGUAUUUUUGUUCCAGUUUGCAACGCCCGUUUAAGCCGUUUGAGUUUGCCAUAACCAAAAAAAUCGGGCACCUAACCUCCAAAUCUUGAGACCAAGAAUUACCCACCAUGCUCAAAAAACUGGGAUGAGACACCCACAUAUUGAGAAAUCUGAAAAAACGACGGUGCCUUUGAGGUGGCAAGCAACAUUGUAAAACAAUAGGAGAAUGAUCAGACGUAACCCUAGCAAGAUUCUGAGUGUGAACGGAGAACCAAAAAUCCGAGAAAGAAUCAGAAUACAGGGCCCGAUCCAGCAGAGACUCAACAUGAUUUGGCAUGAAACGACGACCUGACCAAGUAAAACGCAGACCCACAACAGAGGAUUCAAUAAAACCAAGGUCGCUAAUAAACGAGCAGAAAUCCCGGCAAGAAAUCCGAUCAGGCAUACGGCUGCUGACUCUCUCGUGAGCUCCCUUAACCGCGUUAAAGUCGCCUAUGAUCACCAUACUACCCAAAGCAAAACGUAGCAGAUCGGCCCAAAGUCGCCGUCUCUCCACAUAAGUCGAAGCACCAUGAACCACCGCCACACGAAAAUCCAAAGAAUUCCAAGAGCAGUCGGCAAUAAUCACCUGGUCAGAAGAAAAAACCAGCCGAAAAUCCACAUCAGGGUGAUGGAAAAUCCAAAUAUUAGAACAUUUGUCUUGCCUCAUAUUUUGAUGACCAGGUAGGAGAUUAAUAGAAGACCAAAAAUGAGAAGUUUGCUUUCUGAAAUCCGACUUUGGCUCAAUAAUACCAACAAUCAUCGGCGAAAAAGUGUGACAAUGCUCCCAAAGGAUACGUUUGGAUUCAUCCGUGAAACCACGGACAUUCCAAGUAAAAAUAUUCAUCAGAAAAAAUUACUCAGAUGCGGCGUUAGCCGCUUCCACUUCAUCAGCCCAGCUUUGCGACGCAAUAUUACUCAUCGAACGAGCACUGUGAGAUCCGCUAAAAUCCACCACAUAAUCCCUCGGUUGACUCCCAGCAUCAAACGCUGCUUUAAGCUUGCUGUCAAUCAACAUAACCGAAUCCGGAUUUGGCAUCACCGGCGGCUUCCUCAACCUGCUUUUGAUGCCAUCAUCAGCAGGAAGUUUCCUGUCAGACUUAGGAGGCCGCCCACGGGGCCUUUUAACUUGUUCUUUAGAAACCAGCUCACUUGCCGUUGCCUUUAUUUGUUCUCAGAGCAACCAUUUCUUUGUGAAUCUCCUCAGCUUUCUGACUCUGGUGUCCGGAUCACAACGUCUGUUCCGGAGCUUGGAGACAUUGGCCGGUUAGACUCCGUCGCCAAUGUCUCAUCGCUCCAGAAUCUGGUAUCCAAAAGCCCCGGCCCAAAGUGCUUCCUGAACAGGCAGACUGUCGAACAUCUUCCCUAGUGUGGAGAAAUGACGGUAGCAUUCUCCGCCAACCUUCUUCGUUCCAGAAAAAGCUUGAGAUUUUGCUUUGUGACUCGUCGCCAAGGCUUGUUGCAACAUCCUGUACCGAAUGGUAUGUCCAGAGUUGUGGAGACUUUGGCCGGUAAGACGCGUCGCCAAGUCUCCUUCUCGCCAGGACUUAAGAACAGUUGUCCGGUUAAGCCGCCUUCGGUGUCUUCUUUCCAGAAUUGUAGGAGAAUUGGCCGGUUAGAGCGUCGCCAAUAUCUCCUCUUUCCUGAAAGAACCUGAGACUUUGGCCGGUUAUUGCCGUCGCCAAAGUCUCACCGCAUCACUUGAGAGUCCAAACCACACGGAGAAGCUCCAUUCUUUUGCACGUUUCCACAACUUGAAAAUCUCCCUGAGCGCGGACUAGAACCCCCAGAGGGUGACGAACCAUCUUCUCAGAUCAUAAUCUUCAACGACCCAUCCUUGUGAGAAAAAUUUCUCCAAUAAAUCAGGACCAGUAACUUCUUCUUCGCGCCAUGCUUUCAUCUCUUCAAGGGUCUCAAAACCAUUGCAUGAGUAGUACAAGUUUAUCUCUCGGCUCCAAUGAGACACCUUCUUGCCGGAAUAAAAGCAUCAUUGAGGCGCACUCUCUGUUGUAGGAUCUUAGCAACUUCCAGUCCUGCCAGCAGAAGCGCCAAAUGCGUAUUAGUAGUAUUAACUUUAUUCCAACCGGCUUAAAACGUCGACAUUUUCCCUACUAUGCCCUGUAAUCCUGCAUUGAGAAAAAAAGAGGAGUUGUUCGUAGUAAAAUUCCACAUAAUAAGAAGCGUCAUCCCCUUGCACAACAUGUGUUCUUGAAGAGGAAGCGCCAGAUCACCUCAAUCAACAUUCUGGCAAAUGCCACUCUCCGUAAGCCGAAGCCCCGUCCAUUUUAAUCGAGUUCCAAUGACAUUGCAAUAGCUGUGAAAACUUCAGGGUGCCAAAGUUCAACUGAAGAUAAUAAAUACGAACCCAGACUUGGCAAAGGAGAAUUUCUUAUACGGAUCAAACCCUUGUCCAUUCUCUCAGCCGAAGCGAUCCCUGUGACAGCUCCCAAUAGUUCAGUCUGAGCAAUCUUCUUGUCAACCAAAGUCUGAAACUUAAGAGUAAAAAAGCCUUUGCUCAUAGGAAUUAUUCCAGGGAGUAGGGAUUUGCCAUAAGCUUGUAGUCCUGUUGAAUAGCCGAAGUAGGCCUCGUUUAUCUCUUUCUUGAGAAGAAACGCCAAUCAAAGAAAAUUUAUACUCUUCCUGCCGAGUUUUACAAAAUUCCACGGGCAACUUAAGAAUGAAUCCUUGCUCAGAAACUUCGCCCUCAAGCCGUGAAAGAUGCGCAAAAACUCCGGCCUCCUGAAGAUUUAGGAGCUGUUGCCAUCGCAUAAGUUACGACCCGCUUCAGAAGAACUAGGGUUAUCAGCACCAUGAUGGUAUUAUUCAAGGAAGAUACCUUGUGGAAUCCCUCGCCAAACCUCAGCAGCUCGUGAUUUCACCGUCAUCACACGAGGUCGAAGUAGGCCGGAAAGAGUUUGAUUCCAUAAUAUUCUCCUGCAUCAAAAGCAAAUUCGACUGGGGACUUGGCCGGUUAGAUGCCGUCGCCAAAGUUCCCAUCUCCCUCGGAGACCUUGGCCGGUUAGAUGCCAUCGCCAAGGCCCCCUCCGCUUCGUUUCUCGGAGAUCUUGGCCGGUUAAAUGCCGUCGCCAAGGUCUCGCUAACUACCGCUUCACUAACAUGCGCAGAAACCCUAGGCUGUGAAAACGAUUCAGAAUUGUCAUGGCAAACAUGACGAGAAGGAGAAAAGUUAUUGGAAACGGGGGGAAGAUUCAGCCCCGCUCUAUCGUGAAGCAUCGCCGGCGAUGAAACAGCGGUCGUCGACGAGGUGUACAUGAAGACGGCUAGGGUUUUCCAGCCGGAAAGGUCAUGACGCUCUCUCCUUUCAUUCAACUUUAUUUCGAUAAAUCUAAAUAACUCAUAAAUAAAUAGAUAAAUAUAAAAAAGGUAAAAAGAAUGGAUAUUAAAAAAACAAAAAUUAAAACAUAAAUACAAAAGAAAAACAGUAAAAUAAAAUAAAAAACUAAAAAGAAAAACAGUAAAAUAAAAAAAAAAACUAAAGAAAAAAUAAAAUAGAAUAAAAAGGAAAAAAAAUAAUGAAAAAAAUAAAAUACAAAAAAAAACUAAAGAAACAGGAAAAGAAAAAACAAACGUAAAAACAAAAGAGAAAAAUCCCAAAAAUGGAAAAAAAGGAAAAAAAAAAGAACAAAAAGAUAAAAUAAAUAACAAAAUUGCAGAAAAUGUAGUUAGUGGGUUUCGAACCCUCUCCUCAUAGAAUAUGAAUUGUGUCCAGCUAUUGCCACUACACCAAAGCUUGUUUUUGUACCUAUUUGUUACAAGCUGUUAUAUAUAAUCAUAAUGCGGAUCCGGGUCAAACCGGGUCAAACCCGUCGCAUACCAUGCGGUGGGUCGCAUACAAUAAUUUGCGUUUUUAUAUUCUAUAUUUAUUACACUUUAUUCCUAGUGGACCCACUCACAACACCUUUAUCACUCUAGUCAACUAUCUUUAUCACUUUAGUCAACUACCCUUAUAUUUCAUCCACAUCAUAUUUUUCAGUUUUCUUAGUCUCCGUGCCCACAUCCAAAUGGGUCAUUAAUUCAUGGACGGAGGGCGUAUAAUGAAAUGGUUGGUGCAAAUAGCCACCUCAGCAGUAAAACAAAGUUAACAAUAGGUCGAAAUUUUCUUAAACAAAGUAAAAGAUUACAACAAUUUUGACAAUUUGUUGAUAUUUUAACUUCUACGGCAUAAUAUGUGUUCAUGUUUUCGGUUGCCAACAAGAUAUUCCCGUGCAAAAAAUGUAGGGUCAUUCUAGAUUUGAAAAUAAUAUUAAGUUAUUGGAUUCAAUUCUAAACAUAUGAAAAUUAUAGUCCACGAGUUUUAAUAAAUACUCCAUCCGUCCCACGAAGCAUGACACAGUUUCCUUUUUGGUCUGUCCCACGAAGCAUGACACGUUUUUAAAAAUGGCAAAAAAAUUAUCCUUUAUUCACAUUUUCACAUUUUCACCUACCACACUUAACACACAAAAUACUAAUUUCUUAAUUCCCGUGCCGAAAAGAAGUGUGUCAUACUUCAUGGGACGGAGGGAGUAUUUGGUAGAUAAUAUAUUAAGUGGAGAAAGUAACCUAUUCAUUUCUAGAAAAAAAAUGAUAAUAUGUGAUAAAUAAUAAGUGGGGUUAUAUCCUAAAAUAAAAGUGAUAUUUUUUUAUAAAACAGAUAAAAAGAAAAGAUAUUUUAUUAUAGGACGCAGAGAAUACUAAUUUUGUCCACAAAUAAACAUUACCAACCAUCAAAAUUUGUAUUACCAAGCAAACAUGUAGUUUUACUAUUAUUAUCCUCAUUAAUGUCUCAAAAAAAAAUCAUAAAAAGAUUAAAUUUAAAGUGUAGAAUUAUUCUGUUGAUUAAAAUGAAACGCCUUGAUAAGAUGAUAAAUUCAUCUCUAAUAAUUCGAAAAUGGAAGGAGCUAGUAACUUUUUAUCCAACUUUUUGUCCAUCAAGAUUAUCAUAACAAAAAGAAAAAUUAUAACCCGAUAAUAAAUACUCCAUUCGUCUAAUAAGAAUUUAUCACAUUUUCUAUUUUCCUCAGUCCCAACAAGGGUGUAUCACUUUUAUUUUGGGAUAUUACUCAACUUUCUACUUUUAAUCACAAUCACUCAUUUUCAUAUAACUUCAUAAUUAAUUCAACUAUGACCACUUAUUUUCACUUAACAUUUUAUCUAUUAAAUUUAUUUUUAAAACUCACAUUACUUUUUAUGUGAUACGAGUAAUUUUUACGAGACUUGCUAGUAUAUGUAUAUAUAUAGGGAUUUAAAUUAGUGAGUGUUGUAGCAUAAACUAGGUCCAACAAAACUCAGCAAAAGGAGUGGGACUCAUAAAUGAAGGGUGUAGAUUUCUGGGAAAAAGUGGAGACAGAGAGAGGGUAGGGAAUUAAAAGCGUGGCUCAAGCAACGGUCCCCCUCUUCCUACGUCCACCACGUCAUCACAAAGUAAAGAAUAGCAAACGGCGCGCACGAUAGAAAGCGACGGCCAUUGACGGAGACCGUCAGUCCGGUCAAAUACGUCCAAAGAAAUAUCACGGGAGAGAGAAAUAUAAUUAGGGGUGAAAAACUAAAAGGAGUAAAUAUCCAGCUGUGGUACAGUGAGUUUUUACUACUAAUGAGUGUUGACAGUAUGAAAAGCACCAAAAGUCAAAGUGAGACUUCAUUGCACUCUCCGUUUUGUAAUCAUUCACCUACUUUAAUUUAGGCUUUAUAGCUAAUGCCCCUAGCUCCUUUUCCCCGUUGACUAUAUUUUACGCCCUUGGUUGUUCCAAGCUUUUAGUAUCCAAUUUUCCUUUUUUGGUCGUCCCACAUUUUGGUAUCCAUUUCUAUUUUUGAUAAAAGUAGGUGGCACCCUUACUCCACUUUAAUUAUUUUAACUCUCACAUAAAAUGUGGGAUCCUUAUUCCACUCACAACACAUCAAUCACUUUAUUAAAACCCGUGUCAUUCUCAACUGGAUACCAAAAACUGGGACGGAGGGAGUAUUUACAAUCGCCAUUCGCCAACUCUGAUUGCAAAAAAUAUCUCAAAACCUUAGGACUCAUUUGAUUUUCAAUAAAGAUUUAUGUAGGAUAAUUUUUAACCAAGAUAUUUAGCGUGGAUAAUGACAGAUUAUUAAUACUGAGUUGGUGUUUGCUAUCAUGGCUAAAUAUAAAAUAUCCUGGUUUAAGUUAAUCCUAGGGGGAGGUGGUAUUAUUAAUCCUAAUAAAUCUGAAUUAAUAAUACUGGAUCGUGGAAUUAAACCGGGUCAUCCGCAUUAUUACUAGACUGAUCUGUACUAAAUUAGCUAAUACAGUGUAUUAGCCAAUAUCAAACACGCCCUAAUUAAGAUAUGUCUUCAACUACUAUAUUAAUCAUCGUGUUAGUAGGGAACAGUUAAAAUUUAGUGUAAGUUUGUUUUAUCCAAACAGGCAACUUCGCAACUGUUAGGCCCCGUUCGAUUUCACAUAUUAAGUAAGAUAAUGAGCUAUAUAUAACUAAGUCUUAUGUUUGGUUUAUUAGAUUUAAUCAUGUCAGGCCCAAGACAUAAUACAAAGAUUAGAGGGUCCAAAACUAAUCAUAUGAUUAUUGAUCGAAGCCUAUCCUUGCGACUAAAAGAAGUCUUGGACAACAAAUACAUUUUUGUCCUUAGAAUACUUCCUCCGUCCCACGAAACAUGACACAGUUUCUUUUUUGGUUUGUCCCACGAAGCAUGACACGUUCUUAAAAAUGGCAAAACAUUUACCCUUUAUUCACAUUUUCACUUUUUCACCUACCACACUUAACACACAAAAUAUCAAUUUCUUAAUUCUCAUGCCGAAAAGAAGUGUGUCAUGAUUCAUGAAACAGGGGGAGUAUUACAUUGCAGAAUCUUUGGGUUUAGACUUAUUUACUAUUUUUCAAUGCCAACUUUUCUAUUUUGUAACUAAUAUACUCCCUCCAUCCACGAAAUGAGUACUCAUUUGUGAACGGCAGGGGUUUUAAGAAAUGUAUUGAGUGUAGUGUGAAUAGAAUAAGGGUCCCACCUUUUUUAGUGUAUUAAUUAAAAAGUUUUGUGGGGUACACUUGCCAAAAAGGGAAAUGGAUACUCAUUUCGUGGACGGACGAAAAAGGAAAUAUGGGUACUCAUUUCGUGGACGGAGGGAGUAUUUAUUAUUUAUAAUUUAAUUUAAUUAUUUUAUACCGUUUUUCAAGUUAAAGCAAAAAAUUUGGAUGUGAAAUUCAUAAAUUAACGUAUUAUACACUUUUUUGGGAGAUAUAUUACAUAGGGGUAUAUCAGUAAAACUACAAUAAAUUGGUUUAGUAUAAUUUUGUAAACCGAACAUGAUUGCAAGAUUGUAUAACAAUUGACACUCCAAUCGAACAACUUUUUUUAGUCAUGAUUUAGUCUUGGUUUAUCUCAUACUAUAUCUAAUUGUUAUCUUAUCUAACAGACCGAACGGGCCCUUACUUUAUUACUAAGAGCAUUUCCAACGCGGGUCUUAAGAUCCACGUUGAUCCGCGUCGAAGGAGAGGGGGCCCCGCUGGAGACCCGGCGUGAUUCGAAGUCGUCGUGAAGGCAAGACCCGGGGCGAUGGGGGAGGUGUUUGGCGCGUCCCACGGACGCGCCAUAUUAAAAAAAAUAAUGUAAAAUUCGAUAUUUUUUUCAAAUUUUUUACCGUUUCCUUUAUUUAUUUAUUUUAAAAUUCGAUUGUUUCUUCCCCCAAACGGCUAGUUUGAAUUUUAAUUUUAUUUUUCUGUUCUUUCCCUUCUAUAAAUACCACACUUCCCCAAUCAAAUUCACUACUUUUUCAUUAUCUCAACUACAAUUCUCCCUUCAAAAAUUUUCAGGCAGUGGAUCGCGAGUUCGACGAAUACCCCGAGCAACAAGACGGAGGUUCGAGACUUCUUCCUAAUGUCUCGAUGAUGGGGUUUGCCCCGUUUUCGCAAGCCUCCAAUAUCUUGGCUAGGGGAAAUCGUCCCACGCCUACCAACGUCCAAGAAGUGCCGGAGGUGGAGAAGCCGAAAGCCAAGGGAACCCGCGCCCAAUACUCUAGCGAAGAGACCGAACUCGUGGCAAUCUUGUGGGCGGAGGCUACCCACAAUCCUAUUUUAGGAAUCUUCCAAAAGUUGCUCCAAUAUUGGGGAGCAAUCGCGGAAAAGUUCAACGCGCUCAAACCGCUGGGAGCGCCGACGCGUAAGUCGGAUCAUCUCAAAUCCCACUUCGCACGUGUCCAAAAAGACACGAAAUAUUUCGAGGGCUUCUACAACACUUGCAAGGACAAUUGGGGCAGCUGUAUGAGCGACGACCAAAUCACCCAACACGCCCAGACGAUGUUCGAGGCGAAUUUCAAGAAGCAAUUCUCCUACAUCAAAGCUUGAAAAGUCCUGCGCGACUGUGAAAGAUUCUCUUCGCAAGCCGAGGAUGUCCACUCCGCGAAGAAGUCGAAGGGCUCCGAUGGCCAAGCAACCACCACUUCUUUGGAGCCGAGUAUCACGCCGAGGCCCAAGGCCAAAAAACGGCAAAGCGAGACAAGGGCAAGGGGAAGAAAGGAGAAGAGACUUAGGGAAGUUCUGCGUACUCCGAUGCCUUUGAGAAGGUCACCGAAAGCAUGAAGGAGCAUGCUCUCCAAACGGGGCAAAUCGCCGAAGUCAAAAAAAUGCAAGCCGAGAUGAAAAGGUAGGAGAUGGAUAUGAAGCUCUUGAACACGGACACGACGAAUAUGUCGGAGGCACAAUUGGCCUUACACAACCACCUAGUCCAAUCAGUGCUCAAGCGUCGAUGACUUAUUUAGAUUAGGAAAUUAUUGUAAUUUUUAUUUAUUAUCUUAUUUAAUUAUGUCUUUAAUUUUAUUUUAAUUAUUGUAAUGUUUAAUUUUAAUUUUAAUAAAAUUUGGAAUUAAAAAAAAAAGUGUAGAAAUGUGAAUUUUGUGGAAAUCAGGAUCUAAGACCUCCUCUAAGACACAAUGCAUUGGAGAUGCUCUAAGGACAUGCUUGAUAGCUUAGUUGAGAUACGAAAAGAUAAAUAAAAUUUAAGAUAUGUAUUGUAACAAAAUAAAAUUAGUAAUGUAUUUUAAUGUUUGAUAGACUAUGACUAAAAUAUUGAUAAUAUGAAUUAGUUGUUUGAUAAUUUAGAUUGAAAAAAAACAAAGAAAAAUAUAAUGCACGUCCAUUAAUUCCUAUCCUCUCCCAAUUCAUCCUUUCUUCCCCGACCGCCCCCUCCGGCCAGCCUCCCCCUUCGUCGAUACCAACCUUACCCACCCCCCGGCGCGCUGCCCCGCCACCCCCUGCCUCCAGCCUUCCCCAACGACGCGUCCCUCCCCAACCACAUCGUCGUCGUCGCCCCCCACCCCCUUCUCCCUGUGCGACGCCCCGCUGCCCCCUGCCUCCAGCCUCCCCCAGCGCCGGCGUCCCUCCCCAACCACAUCGUCAUCGUCGCUCCCCACCCCCCUUCCCCCGCACGCGCCGCCCUAGGCUACAUCGAGAGAGGAACACAACAACUAGGGGUGGAAAAUCGGGUUGCGGGUAUCGGGUAUACCCUCACCCGUCCCGAUACCCGCGCGGGUAUCGGGUACCCGAUACCCGCAAAAUUCGGGUGGAGGGUUGGGUGCGGGUAUCGCAUCCUCAAAAAUCGCGGGUAGAGGGUACCCGCGGGUAUACCCGCGGGUACCCGCAUACCCGCAAUAAAUAUUUAAAAAAUAAAAUUAAAUAAUUUUAUUUAAUAAUAUUAGGAAUUAAACCAAUUAACCAAAAUUAAAUAUUAGGAAUUAAACCAAUUUUAUUAGGAAUUAAACCAAUAAAUAUUAGAAAUUAAACCAAUAAUAUUAGGAAUUAAACCAAUAAAUAUUAGGAAUUUUAUUUAAUAAUAUUAGGAAUUAAACCAAUUAGGAAUUAAACCAAUAAAUAUUAGGAAUUAAACCAAUAAAUAUUAUGAAUUAAACCAAUAAUAUUAGGAAUUAAACCAAUAAUAUUAGCAAUUUUAUUUAAUAAUAUUAGGAAUUAAACCAAUAAAUAUUAGGAAUUAAACCAAUUUUAUUUAAUAAUAUUAGGAAUUAAACCAAUUAACCAAAAUUUAAAAAUUAAAUUAAAUAAUUUUAUUUAAUAAUAUUAGGAAUUUUAUUCGUCACAGGUUUUAUGGAUAAUCGAUGAAAUAGAAAGGAUAUUUUCAAUUUUUUUUGUGAAAUGCGGGACAAAAUACCCUCUCGCGGGACGAAAUACCCUCUUGCGGGACGAAAUACCCUCCAACGGGACCAAAAACCCGCAAAAUUACAAUUAAAAAAAAAAUUGCGGGACUAUGAGGGUACCCUCAUACCCGCAGCGGGUAUCCGCUGCGGGUAUUCGGGUACCCGCAUCGGGGAAGAGGGUCGGGUGAGGGUGCCGUUUUCGGCAGUUUUCGUCCCGCGGGUACCCGCAUUUUGCGGGUAGGGUACCCGCGGGUACCCGAUUUUCCACCCCUAAGUCAACAACAAUGGUCGUGGGUUCGAAAAUUUCAUUCCUCAAUAACAAAGCCCAAAUAUGGCAUUCAAAAACCCCUAAGGCUAAACACAUAUUAAUACCACUUUCCUAGUUUGUUUUUUUGAAAAAUCCUGAGCCAAUUUACGUGUUCUAAAAUUCAUAAUAUAUGACGAGUAUAAACAUCGUGGAAGGAGCAAAAUCGAAAUGGAGGAAAGUAAUAUCAGGUACUGUAGCAGAACGUAUUGUGGAACGUGAGAAUUCCCACAAGUAACCAAAAUGAGAUAGUUUGUGACUUAUAUAGCCACCAAACAUAAAAGAUGACUUUAGGGGUCAAAAGGCAUUGAAAUGACAAACACACCCUUACUAAUUAGUAAUAAAAAUAAAAGAAAAAUAAAAUUGACUUUAGGGGUCCAACAAUGGCUCUCUCUCUCUCUUUCGAAUGACUCUCUCUCUCUCUCUUUCGAAUUCAGCAAGCUCUCUCUCUCUCUCUCUUCGAAUUCACCUUCUUCCUCAAAUGCUACACUCUCUCUCUCUCUUCGAAUUCACCUUCUUCCUCAUAAAUGACUCUCUCUCUCUCUUUCGAAGUGAAGGUGUAGGAUUGCAGUUGAGCCCUAGAUCGCCUCUCUUUCUCUCUCUUCGAAUUGAGCUGAUUCCUCAUAAAUGAAGCUAUCUUCCUCAGCCAUGAGAAUUUCGCAUGUUAAGGAUUCACCGUACAAAUCAAUAAAUGUGAUAGUAAAUGCAAAUGUUAAGGUAGGUUGGUGAAGAAAUAGAUGAAUAUUUGGGUGUGUGUUCAUUCUUCAUCUCUUUCUUUGUUUUUUCUAUCGAAAACCCACGAAAUUUCUGAAAAAAGUAUCGAUUUUUUAUUUGGAAAAGCUUGGGUCGGACGAAAUUGUUUGGGCAUUCUGAUUGUAUUUAGGUAUGUAUGUUAAAUUCAUAACAAAUGUAUCAAUUGUAUGUUUUAUUUUCUGAUUUUGGUGAGAAAAUUUCAGUACACAGUAGCCUCUGCGUAAAUGACACAGUUAAGACUAUAUUGGAAUCAAAAUCGAGAUUUAUUGUUGCGUAUUGAUAAAAUUUAGUUUUUUCACGUCUAAGAGCACGUUGAGUGUGAAAAAUAUAAAAUAAAUGCUUGAUUUUGAGGACACAGUUGGGAGAUAUGAAGGUGUUCUUUGCUACACAGUUGAGCUAAAUUGCACAGUGUAAAUAAUAUGCACAGUUGAAUAAUAUACACAGUUGGUAGAUAUGAAGGUGUUCUUAGCUACACAGUUGAGCUAAAUUGCACAGUGUAAAUAAUAUGCACAGUUGAAUAAUAUACACAGUUGACUAUAAUACUUAAAUAGUUGUAUAAUAAUAAAAUUCACUAAUCAAUACUAUUUAAUUUAGCUAGUUAAUUAAAUUAAUACGUGCACAAUAAUUGAUUCUAUUUGUACACGUUUGAUCAAAAUCAACCGUAUAAAUGUUGUGCACAUUUGACUAUAUACACAGUUGACAUAUUAUUAAUGAAUUAUCUUAAUUAUUUCUUAUUAAAAUUUAAUUAAUAUUUAACUUUGUUAAUAUAUCUAGUUAAUUAAUUUACUAAUUAAUCAUAUUAUUUAAUUUUAUUAUAAUAUUUAUUUUGAGCACAUUUGACUAUAAAGCGUACACAGUUGAUUCAUUUUGUACACAUUUGAUCAAAAUCAACCGUAUAAAUGUGUGCAUAGUUGAACAAUAUACACAGUUGACAUAUUAUUAAUUAAUUAUCUUAAAUAUUUAUUAUUAGAAAUUAAUCAAUAUUUAACUUUGUUAAUUUAUCUAGUUAAAUAAAUUACUAAUUAAUCAUAUUAUUUAAUUUUUUAUUAAUUAAGUUACAUAUUUAUUUAUUAUUAUUAUAAUAUUUAUUUUGAGCACACUUGUCUAUAAUGCGUACACAGUUGAUUAAAUUUGUACACGUUUGAUCAAAAUCAACCGGAUAAUUAUGUAUGCAUAGUUAAACACAUACACAGUUGACAUAUUAUUUAUAAAUUAGCUUAAAUAUUUCUUAUUAAAAUUAAUUNNNNNNNNNNNNNNNNNNNNNNNNNNNNNNNNNNNNNNNNNNNNNNNNNNNNNNNNNNNNNNNNNNNNNNNNNNNNNNNNNNNNNNNNNNNNNNNNNNNNNNNNNNNNNNNNNNNNNNNNNNNNNNNNNNNNNNNNNNNNNNNNNNNNNNNNNNNNNNNNNNNNNNNNNNNNNNNNNNNNNNNNNNNNNNNNNNNNNNNNNNNNNNNNNNNNNNNNNNNNNNNNNNNNNNNNNNNNNNNNNNNNNNNNNNNNNNNNNNNNNNNNNNNNNNNNNNNNNNNNNNNNNNNNNNNNNNNNNNNNNNNNNNNNNNNNNNNNNNNNNNNNNNNNNNNNNNNNNNNNNNNNNNNNNNNNNNNNNNNNNNNNNNNNNNNNNNNNNNNNNNNNNNNNNNNNNNNNNNNNNNNNNNNNNNNNNNNNNNNNNNNNNNNNNNNNNNNNNNNNNNNNNNNNNNNNNNNNNNNNNNNNNNNNNNNNNNNNNNNNNNNNNNNNNNNNNNNNNNNNNNNNNNNNNNNNNNNNNNNNNNNNNNNNNNNNNNNNNNNNNNNNNNNNNNNNNNNNNNNNNNNNNNNNNNNNNNNNNNNNNNNNNNNNNNNNNNNNNNNNNNNNNNNNNNNNNNNNNNNNNNNNNNNNNNNNNNNNNNNNNNNNNNNNNNNNNNNNNNNNNNNNNNNNNNNNNNNNNNNNNNNNNNNNNNNNNNNNNNNNNNNNNNNNNNNNNNNNNNNNNNNNNNNNNNNNNNNNNNNNNNNNNNNNNNNNNNNNNNNNNNNNNNNNNNNNNNNNNNNNNNNNNNNNNNNNNNNNNNNNNNNNNNNNNNNNNNNNNNNNNNNNNNNNNNNNNNNNNNNNNNNNNNNNNNNNNNNNNNNNNNNNNNNNNNNNNNNNNNNNNNNNNNNNNNNNNNNNNNNNNNNNNNNNNNNNNNNNNNNNNNNNNNNNNNNNNNNNNNNNNNNNNNNNNNNNNNNNNNNNNNNNNNNNNNNNNNNNNNNNNNNNNNNNNNNNNNNNNNNNNNNNNNNNNNNNNNNNNNNNNNNNNNNNNNNNNNNNNNNNNNNNNNNNNNNNNNNNNNNNNNNNNNNNNNNNNNNNNNNNNNNNNNNNNNNNNNNNNNNNNNNNNNNNNNNNNNNNNNNNNNNNNNNNNNNNNNNNNNNNNNNNNNNNNNNNNNNNNNNNNNNNNNNNNNNNNNNNNNNNNNNNNNNNNNNNNNNNNNNNNNNNNNNNNNNNNNNNNNNNNNNNNNNNNNNNNNNNNNNNNNNNNNNNNNNNNNNNNNNNNNNNNNNNNNNNNNNNNNNNNNNNNNNNNNNNNNNNNNNNNNNNNNNNNNNNNNNNNNNNNNNNNNNNNNNNNNNNNNNNNNNNNNNNNNNNNNNNNNNNNNNNNNNNNNNNNNNNNNNNNNNNNNNNNNNNNNNNNNNNNNNNNNNNNNNNNNNNNNNNNNNNNNNNNNNNNNNNNNNNNNNNNNNNNNNNNNNNNNNNNNNNNNNNNNNNNNNNNNNNNNNNNNNNNNNNNNNNNNNNNNNNNNNNNNNNNNNNNNNNNNNNNNNNNNNNNNNNNNNNNNNNNNNNNNNNNNNNNNNNNNNNNNNNNNNNNNNNNNNNNNNNNNNNNNNNNNNNNNNNNNNNNNNNNNNNNNNNNNNNNNNNNNNNNNNNNNNNNNNNNNNNNNNNNNNNNNNNNNNNNNNNNNNNNNNNNNNNNNNNNNNNNNNNNNNNNNNNNNNNNNNNNNNNNNNNNNNNNNNNNNNNNNNNNNNNNNNNNNUCAGAUGAUGAGGUCGUCGACAAGCGUCGUGAAGAGAUAGUGUUGGCGGCAAUCCAUGAAUUUACAGGUUGGAUUCGCCAACCUGGUCACCUCGAGAAGAUGAUUGGGAAUCGUAAAUUUUCUUCUGAUGAUCAUGGUAACAAAGAUGUGCCUGCUGAAGAUGACGUUCCUCAUUCAAGUAAUGAACUCCGCAAUUGGUUGAUUGUUAUCCCAGAUUUUGAUAGUGCCUUACCAUUGAAUUGGGCUGAACCAUAGUUUCCAGAUAAAGACCAACUUGUGGUGAAUGCCACAUUUCGGUCUAAGGAUGAGUUGGCAAUUGCUGUAGGGCUUUAUCACAUGGAGAAAAAAGUGGAGUACGCGGUGGAUCGAUCCACCACCGAACGUGUGGGUUAUAUCUGCAAACAUGACGACGAAUGCCCUUUCAAGUUGCGUGCAGUCCAGGAAGUUGGACUUUGGAGAAUCAUUAAGUUCAUUCCAAACCACACUUGUCGUUCGAAUUUGACUCGCACUGCUCCGAGAAUGGUGCCGUCUAGAGUAGUUGCUGCAUACUUUUCACGAAAAUUAUCGGUGGAGAGGAUUGUUCUAAAGCAUUAGAAAUACAUACCUGAUUCGCUUCCCCAUUUACUCACGUCUGUCACAAGUCUUGCUUUGCGGUCCAGGGAUAUUGCUCUAGAGAUGAUGUAUGGUGGGUUCGAGCAAUCUUAUCAGAGGCUCCCGACUUAUCUAUACUUGUUGGGGGAGCGUAAUACUGGGACCAUAUAUGAUAUUCAGACUACUCAGAUGGGUGAGUUCCGCUACAUGUUUUUAGCUCUUGGACAGUCUAUUCAUGCCUUUCAAAAUCAUCUUAGACCUGUCAUUGUAGUAGAUAGAACCCACCUUAAAGGAAAGAACAAAGGGGUUCUCUUUGUCGCAGUUACCAAAGACGGUAACGAAGGGGUCUUUCCACUUGCAAUUGGUCUUGGUCCGAUCGAGAAUGACGAAUCAUGGACAUAUUUUUUCUCGAUGCUGCGUGCGAGCCUAGGAGAUCCACCGGAUGACUUACUGAUCGUGUCUGAUCAACACACGAGCAUCCGGAGUGCCAUUGAGUCCAUAUACCCGAAUGUUGCUCACGGGUUGUGCUUUUAUCAUAUACAGAAGAACUUGGCGCGAUUUGGCCGUCACGUAGCUGAAAUAUACAAAAAUGCAGCCUACAGUUAUCGACAUGAAGUAUUUAACUUGAGCUUUGCUGCUUUGGAAGCCCACCACCGGGCGGGUGCUUACAAGAGACUGACAGAUAUUGGGGUUGAAAGGUUAGUUUUUUUAUUCACAUACUGUACACAGUUGAUUCACAGAGCACACAAUCAAUUGAAUUCUUUAUACACAGUUGAUUCACAUAGCACACAAUCAAUUGAAUUCUUUAUACACAGUUGAUUCACAGAGUACACAAUCAAUUGAAUUCUUCAUACACAGUUGACAGAUUAUUAUUUAUUUAAUAAGGUGGGCAAGAUCGAAGUGUCCGGUACGGCGCUACAGUUUUAUGACGUCUAAUGCAGCUGAAAGUAUGAAUGCUCGAUUGUUAUGGGCGAGACGUCUGCCGGUUUGCGCCAUGUUGGAAGUGUAUCGCUCAACUGUAGAACAAUGGUUUGACCAACGACGCGCAGAAGCUUUAGCCAGAGACCACGAGAUGACAGAGGAGGCUUUCAGAAAACUAUCUUUAUCUGUAGAAUCGGGUCGUCGCUAUACUGUUCGGGGAACAACGACACAUGUAUUUAAAGUCGAAUUAGAGAACAAGACAACCUUUGUUGAUCUACAAAGCUGGACAUGCGAUUGUCGUGAGUUUGAUUUGGACAUGAUACCUUGUCGUCACGCUUGUGCUGCUAUACAGUAUCUCAGUUAUUUAAUUCGUAUAUUGUUUCCAAGUUAUUGAUCGUUUUUACAAUUGAUCAUUUUUUAUUUUUUGUUUUUAUUUUAGGCAUGCCAACCUCAACGUCUAUGACUUUGUGGGACGUUAUUUCAAACAACAUGCCUUAUUACAAACUUAUGCAGCUCGGGUAGAGCCAGUUCCACAACCUGACACGUGGGAUGUGCCGACUUCAGUAUCUGGCUACAUUAUUCGACCACCGGUCAUUAAGCGACAAUCUGGACGACCGAAAGACAGCAGAGCUCAAUCACAUCUUGAGAAAUCGUCAUCCACCACACCGCGUCAAAUCUGUGGCAGGUGUAAAGGCCAUGGGCACAAAUAGGGAUGGCAAUGGGCCGGAUCUGGACCGGAUCCUGCUUGGUCCAGAUCCAGAUCCUGAUUUUUUGACUUAGGCCCAGAUCCGGUCCAGAUCCAAUGGAUCCAAAAAAAUGAGAUCCAGGUCCAGAUCCAUAAGAUCCACAGGGUCUCGGGUCCAGACCCGGAUCCAUACUUUUUGUCUUCUAAAUUAAAUUUAUAAAUCUUAAAUUAAUCCCAAAUAAAAUUAUAAUUAUUGUCUAGAUUUUCAACAAUUAUUCAAAAUAAAUGAAUUAACCAUAUUCUAUAAAAAUAUUAUCGAAGUUUAAUAACAAUAAGAAUAUAAUAAUCAAGUACUACUAAAUAACAGUGGAACAAUGUGUCCUCUAUUUACAUAGAAAGAAUUAAUGUUAUCAAUAAUAAUAAUAAUAAUAAUAAUAAUAAUAAUAAUAAUAAUAAUAAUAAUAAUAAUAAUAAUUAAUAAUAAUAAUAAUAAUAAUGAAACUAAAUUUAAUUAAAUAAAGUAAAUAUUAUCUUUAAUUGCAUUAUAUAUUAUUAUGAAAGAGAUAUAUUGAUUAUCAUAGAUAUUAGAUUAGAGUUAGAUAAAAUAAUAACAUUAUAUAUAUUUUUAUAUAUAAAUGGAUCCAUGGACCGGAUCUGGACCGGAUCUGGGUCUCAGAUUUUUUGCUCCAGAUCCAGAUCCGGAAAUUAUAGGAAUAACCCAGAUCCGGUCCAGAUCCAUUGGGUCCAUUUUUCCUAAGGUCCAGAUCCUAAAAAAUGGAUAUGGAUCUGCGGAUCUGGACCGGGUCCAGGAUCCAUUGCCAUCUCUAGACACAAUAGGAGAUCAUGCGCGGCAUCUCUUCCUACCGAGGACGUGGACCCUCAACCACAGAAGGGCCGACAAAAGAAGAAGUGCAGUAUAUGUAAGAGUACGGAUCAUACGAAGAAAAAAUGCCCUCCUCCUCCACAAGAGGACUGUUAGCAAUUGUGUAUGCAUUCAACUGUGUACUCUAUUUGAGCGACUGUUAUUGUGCACCGGAUAACUGUGUAUGCAUUCGACUGUGUUCUAUCAUUGUGCACUGUCAUUGUGCACGUACGUAAACUAUUCCUUUGGCCGAUUUGAGGGCGUUUGGGCAAUGGAAAUUAAGAACUUGAACAUCCUAAGUUAAUUUCUAAUGGUUAACAAAAUCAAAUUGAAUAUAUUUUUAAUUGAAACACGUGUAAAUUACUAAGAUGCUAUUAUAUGACACUAACAUAUACACUUACUACACUUAAGUUACAUAUGAUAUAUGUUCAAUAUGUUUGAGCGAGUGAUGGAUAUGAACACAAUUACUCAUUUUAUUGAAUAUAAUGUUUACAAUACAUUUCAAUACUAAUUUCACUUAAUUGCAUCUCAAUUACUAAAAUAUGCCCCGUUUAAAGGGUAGUUAGCCCGCAGCUGUGUAUGCAUUACUGUGUAUUAUUGUGCACUGUCAUUGUGCACCGUAUAACUAUUCUUUUGCCGAUUUUGAGGGUUUGGGCAAUGGAAAUUAAGAACUUGAACUUCUAAGUUAAUUUCAAUGGUUAACAAAUCAAAUUGAAUACUUGUUUUUAAUGAAACACGUGUAAAUUACUAAGAUGCUAUUAUAUGUACACUAACAUAUACACUUACUAUACUUAAGUUAUAUGUGAUAUAUGUUAAUUAUGUUUGAGCAAGUGAUGGUUAUGAACACAAUUAACUCAUUAUAUUGAAUAUAAUGUUUAAUAAUACAUUUUAAAUACUUAAUUUCAACUAACUGCAUCUCAAUUAUGAAAAUAUGCCCCGUUUAAAGGAUAGUUAGCCCACAAAUGUGUAUGCAUUAAACUAUGUAUUGUCAUUGUGCAUAAUUGAUAAAUUCAAAAUAUGUGCACAGUAGCUAAACACGUACACAGUAGCUAAAUACGCACACAGUAGCUAAAUACGUACACAAAAACAGCCCACAAUCCAAAGCAGAGUUCAACAUCCAACCUAAAUAUCAAAUAGUAAGAGAAAAUAUCCGAUGAGCAACACGAUGCCUAUACUGGGACAAGUACGUCUCGUCGAUAGCCCCUCGAUGAUGCUCUGUGCGCGUCAAGAGACGAUCAAGUAUCAUGGUGCAAAAGGGGCCGCAACUAACCGAGUCCGUCUAACUGUGUAUGCAUUAAACUGUGUAUUGUCAUUGUGCACUGUUUUACACAAUUGAAGACUCGUACACACUUGAGAAUUUGGUACACAGAUGAAAAUUCGUGCAUAGUUCAUCCAAUUUGUACACAAUAUUAAUUCAAUUAAUACAGAUGAAAAUUCGUGCACAGUUGAAGACUCGUACACACUUGAGAAUUUGGUACACAGAAGAAAAUUCGUGCACAGUUCAUCCAAUUUGUACACAUGUAAUUUAAUUUCCUUAAUUAAUUAGUACACAGUUCAUCCAAUUUGUACACAGUCAAUUCAAUUAAUAUAGAUAAAAAUUCGUGCCCCGUUUGAGUGAGUAAUGUCUAACGUGCUACUUAACUUACGUAUAAUAAAUGUUAAAGAUAUUUGAGUGCCACAUGAAUAUGAACAAACUUAACUUUAUGAUUGUAUAUGAACAAAUUUAACUUAUUGAUUUGUAAUUUGUAAGUUAACUUUAUUAUUUUUAACAUAAUUGUUAUUUACACACUUGAAUAUUCAUACACAGUUAAAAAAUAGAUAUACAAUUGAUAAAUUCGUGCACAAUUUAUUUAUAAUUUACUGAAUUAAUUAGUACAUAAAUGAUAAAUUCGUACAAAGAUACUUUAAUUUACUAAAUUAAUUAGUACACAAUUGAUAUAAUAAGUGCAGAGUUGAUAUAAUUCAAAAUAAGUGCACAAUUGAUACAAGUACACAAUUGAGUUUGUGCAUAAUUGAACAAAGUUAAUCGUGUACCUCAAAUUCCCACAAACAAUCUUGAAAGCAAGAAAAAGACUUUAAUGGAUCAAACGCAAACCGGGCAAUGAACCAACCCAUUCUCCUUACACUCUCCACACCUCUCUUUGACGCCCCUAACAACUAUCUUGCAACUACCCGCACACCCCAAACACAGCAAUAAGCACGUGAACGAUACACCUGGAACAUUGAGUGCUGAGGCGUCUCCUGAUAAAUUUCCUCUUGUCAAUCCAUCACAGAAGUUGAUCCAAACCUAGAAAAUCUACCUUCUCUAUUCUAGUCUUCCUUUUAAGGUCCUCUGAUUGCUUUGAUGAGUUCACUCACUCCAUCAGUAGCAGAACCUGUAUUAAAAAUUCUCUGUACCAGAAUUGCGCUUCAUCUUCUUCUGAAUAUCUGUGGCUGCACCGCCUUCAUCUACGUUGCUGGUUUUCACAGUCGCCGGAUUUGGGAGUGGCUGAGCCAGUUCGCAGACUUCGUACACCCAGACGCAAUCGUCACCGCUGGCCUACUUGUCUGCGGCAGUGAUGGAGCUCGUUGUCGCAGGUAUCGCAGAUGGAAAGUGGAGUCGGCUUGACAGAAGACGGUGGUGGAACUCACCGGAUUUUCUAUCAAAUGAGACAUGGCGGUGGCGUUUGUCAAUGUUUUGUAUGGGCAGACCUUCUACCGGAGCUACGGCGAGAGCGGUCGGCGGGGAUCUGUUGAGUUGGCUCCGCGUCGCAGCAGUUCAGAGGAAGAGGAACCAGCUACUAAAGCUUUUGCUGCCGACGAAGGCGGUCAACGGCGGCGGCGUUUUAGAGGGAUGGAAACGGCUUCUCGCCGGAUUUCAGGAACCAAUCGGUGCAAGGGUGCGACGGUUGCUGUAUCUCUAUGUAUGGGUGCUUCUGUUUCAACGUGAGGAGAGAGAGAUUAAGGGUAUGGUGGUGUAGGCGGCGUCUCAUGAACCGGCGAGAGAUAGUCGACCGGCGAUUUCUGGGAGAUUUCUAGGAGAGGGUUGGAGACGACGAACCGCGAAGAGAGAGAGAGGCGAGCGAAGAGAGAGUCGACCGGCGAGAGAGAUUGAGAGAGGCUACCGGAAAUCAAAAUGGCUGGGAAAGGGUUGGAGACGACGAUUCGACGAACUAGAGAGAAUGAGUGAAUUUGAAAUGGCCGUUACCUUGUUUAAUUUAGGGUUUUUUUUAAUUGUUAAGUCAAAGUUCAUAUUUUUAUUUUGUUUUAUUUUAUAUUUUAUAUGUUAAUAUUUAUCUUAAUUUUCUUUUAUUUUUAUUCAGUAAUUAGUAAGGGUUGUUUUGUCUUUUCAAUAGCUUUUGACCCCUAAAGUCAUCUUUUAUGUGUGGUGGCUAUAUAAGUCCUAAACUAUCUCAUUUUGGUUACUUAUGUCUUUCUCCCUUUUUUUUUUAGGGGAAAAGCGAAGCAACUUUAUUAUAAAUCACGAUGAACAACUUAAUUAACAAAGUUGAAACAAAUAUAUAAUGCUCCCUCCAUCCCUGAAAAUUGUGACCAUAUUACUAUAUGUCUCUAAAAAUUGUGAUCUUUCUUUAUUUUGAAAUAAUCCCACAAACUUUUUCUCUCACUAUUUACAAAAAAAGUGAGAUCCAAUCUCCACUCAAAGACAACUACUACACUUUUUCUUAAAAUUCGUGUCACCUCUAUUGAAUCACAAUUUUUAGAAACGGAGGGAGUAUUAUUCUAACAUACGAAAUGUCACCCAAAAUUUGUCAUAUAGACAUUGUCUACUUGUUUUCCAUCUUAAAGAGAGAAAGAGGAAAAAAAAACUUAACUAUGAGUAGUAAUAUUUUCUAACUAAUGCAUACAUUAAUUAAUAAAUUUAAACAUUAAUUAUAAUUUUCAUUUCAGUUAUAUUUAACCAUGAAUUAAACUUUUUUUAGGUAAGCAUGAACUCAAGCUAGUAACAUUAAAAUAUAAAAAUCUAAUAAAUUUAAGAUCUAAAGAAAUACAAUUAUUAGCAAAUAAAAACCAAAUAAAAUAUAACUAAAAUGAAGAAUUAUUAUUAAUCUUCAUUCUUUAAAGUUUGCUAUAUAUUAUAAUUAAAGAAUGAAGAUUGAUUAUGAUCUCCAUUACUUAUCUUAGUUUUAAUUAUAAUAUUCACAUAAAAAUAAAAUAAAGUUAGAAAAUGAUAUCACCCAAUUUUGAUUUUUUUUAAUUAUCAAAAUAAAGUUAAUUAAUGAUAUCAUCCGAAUAUAUUUUUUUUUUUUUGCUAUGGCCCAUACAAGAACAGUUCCACACUUUUUAACAUAAAAUCGGUGGCCCAUUAUUUAAUUUUAUUACAAAACCCUAGUAUAUACUUACGUUGAUUGGUUGUGUGCCUUAAUACACAUCUCACUCUUUUCUCAUUUUCUCUCUCCAUUGUCGAUUUUUCAAACACUCUACAAUUUCAAAAUUCUAUAGUCAAUUCUCUUCUCUCUUCUCAAAUUUUUCUAUCGAUUAUUCAUUUCCAUGGCUAUAUUGUUAUUUUUCUUUUUCUAUUUUUUUUUGGUUACAUGCUAAAUUUUUGUAGAUGUAUCAUUAUCUACAUAAAAUUUUGCUUACAAAGCAUUGCACAUUUUUUACUGUAUCUUUUAAUUUCGAUUACUAUAUGUAACUCAUAUAAUUAAAAUAUUCAUGGUUAUAUUCGUUGUUUUUUUGUGGUUACAUGCUAAUUUUUUGUAGAUCUAUCAUUAUCUACAUAAAAUAUUGCAUACAACCUUUGAACAUUUUUUAUUUAUCUUUAUAUUUUGAUAACAAAAAUGCUAUGCAUUUGUACUACUAAUUUUUCUUGCGUUGUUUAUGCGAUAUUUUUGUAGAUCCAUCUAUUCUAUAAAAAAGUAUUGUUUUUAACCAAUAUUUUUCUAUAGAUCUAGUAGAUUUUAGUAUGCUAAUAUAUAAUUUUGUAUUAUAUUCUUUAGAUCUAAGUCUUUACUUAAUUGCUCUACUAUUCCUCAUGACCAAUGGGAUGAUACUGAGUCAAAACAUAAAAGAGUUGCGUCAUGUUCAACACAGAAUCAAAAUCAAUAAACAUCCUAAUUCCUCAUACGUAUGGCAAGAAAUUUUAAAGAUUCAAACAUCAAAGGUAAGUAAGAACAUUUAUUUCGUUUACAAUCAAGUAAAUAUGAGGAUAUUUUAAAAUGAACAACUCUUACCUAAAAUAUUAUUCCUACUUCUGUAAAAUCUCAUGUCAGAAACAGCGGUUGAGCAUAUUACAUAAUAAAUUCUCCUUUUCUUCUGUUGAUAAUAUGUAUGAAAUUCUUGGAACUGUAGUUUGUUAUAAAUUCGAAUAAACUAACAAAUUGUUCUUCAGCGCCUGCCUACUAUAUGAAACUUGAUGAAAACUUUCUCUCUUCCUCUCUAUAGUUUAAAACUUUGAAUCGAAACCAUCAGAAGAAAUUUUGCUGAAUGCUUGCAUGAUAACCCUUCAAAUUAAAUAAAUAUAUAAGUACUACAUUUGUAUUAAAAUCAGAAUUAAAAAAAAAAGUUUGAAUUAUACCUUUUUAUCAUGGAAAAUACUUUCACUAUUCUGCAUUUGCCUAGCUCUAAAUCCUUGAUCAUUCAAAAAAGUGAAUGCAUAAUCGAAGUAGUGAGGCACAAAAAAAUUGAUAGAAAUAUGUAGAUAUGUUCCACGCAGUGAAUUGGAUAGAAGAUAGAUGUAGUACUGAUGCUACGUAGAGAAAUUGGAGAGAGAAGAUAGAUGUAGAAAUGAUGCUAGAAUUGAGAGAAGAUAGAUGUUGAAAUGCAGUAGAGAAGAUAGAGGUAGAAAUGCAUGAGAAUUAGAGAGUGAAGAUAGAUGUAGAACAAAUAGAUGUAGAAAUGCAGGAGAAUUGGCUAGUGAAGAUAGAUGUAGAACUGGUGCUAGAAUUGAGAGAAUAUAGAUGUUGAAAUGUAGUACAAAAAGAUAGAUGUAGAAAUGCAGCAGAGAGAAGAUAGAUGUAGAAAUGAUGCUUUGCAGAGAUAUGAAUGAUGCUAUGCAGAGAAACGAUGCUACACAGCAAUGAUGUUGAGAGAAGAUGUAGAAAUGAUGCGGUGAGAAGAUAUAUGUAGAAAUGAUCGAUGCUAGGCGAGAAAUAAUUCUGCUGCGAAAUGAUGCUGCACAGAGAAUUGUUGAAGAUGCUGCAGAGUGAUGCCUCGCAGAGAUUUAGAGAGAACCAAGGAAGCAAAAUGUGUGAAAUUUUUAAUUUAUAAUUAUGUUAAAUGUAACUGCUACAUAUGGAAAUUUAUAUUUAUAUGUUUUUAGUUUUAUUGAAAUGUGUGAUAUCUCGAUUUUUUUCCCAUAAGAAAUUUAGAAGACCUUUAAUUAGUAUAUUAUUGAUACACGCCCGGGUUAAUAAAGUGAUAUUAUUUCAAAGAGAUUUUACAUAUUUAAGUUCAUUACUAUUAUUUUGUUUGAUCAAAGAUCUUGAGCCCAAUACUAAAUUAUAUGAGAUAUAUUACUAAAAAGAUUUUUCAUUCUAUUUAAUAUUUAACUUCUGUUGGACCUCAAGCCCAAAUUUUCCUUUUAGUUUGGUGAUGGCCCAAUUGAUGAGAACAAUAUGUACGUGUGAUCAUAUUAGUUAAAUCGUUUCCUAUUUUCCCAAGAUUUUACUGUGCCAGAUUUUUCUACAAGUGGAAAUUUUUAAAUCCCUCAACUCUUGUAUAACAUUCAACCACGUGAUCCUUUUGUUUCCUUAAAUAUAUUCCCUGAUCCACAAACAUUUCUACCGUCAUUUCCUCAAGCAUUCUGCAGAAUCUAUUUUUCCAUCCGAGACAUACUUGAUCGCUAAUUCCAGAAGCUCAGAAAUUUCAACCAGAUCAGUAUAUUAAGGUUCACUUUAUUCUCUUUGCAUAAAAUUCACUUACACUCUUUUUGUCUCCUUUGUGUAAACAAACAAGAUUAUUUCCUUUUUGUUACAGAUAAUCACAAACAAAGACAACAACAUACUCACUGAACAAGGUUCACUCUUCUUCCAACUCUUUAUCUCCAAACGUGUAUUUCUCCCCUAUCACUACAAGAACUGAAAUUAGACUCUCACACAUAGACCUUGGCAUAAUUUUUGAAACUUCUUCACACAACAAUUUUCGUUUUGUUUUUGAGAAGAAUCUGUACAAAGCAAACAAGGACCCAACUAUUUCAUAACCUGUAAAAUUUCUCAAUUCUGCACCAAGAAUCGUUUUUUUUCGGAAUCUGAGAAUUUUUCCUUUCGUUGCCUUGUUGAGUGCGAGAGACGAGAGGGAGACGAGGGCAGGCUGUCCGAGCUCGACGCCGAGCUGUCAAAGCCGCGGCUGCCGGCGCUGCAUGCGUUGCAGCAGCCCGCCGGUCACCCACGGCCAAGACAGACGGAGUCGGAGCGAGGCGGCGUCGUGGGCGAGGUCGGGGCGGCGCGGCCGAAGGCCGAGCGCCGCUGACGCGGCAUGAACGGAGCAGCAGCGGCGGCGACCCUCCUUGGCUGUCUGCUGCCGAAAACGAGAGAAGGAAAGCGAUGAGUGAGGGAGGCCUCGGAUCCGGCGAUCUCGCCGGAGCUGGAACAGGCUGUUAAUAGUGGCUGCAUGCUUGUGUAUAGAAGGGUGUUAAAUUGAUAUAUCAAGAGAGUAAAGGAGUUAGUAGCAAAUAUGGCAAAGUUUUUGUUGUAGCUGCUGCAUGUUACUGUUAUUACUUUCUUGAGAAGAUCUUAGCCGUUGAGUUUUGAAGGGUGGAGAUCAUGCAUCAUUCUUAUACACAAAAGCUACUAGAUGUCUUGGUUUUAGUACUCUGUUUUCGAGUAGUGAGAAUAUCAGAGAGGGAGAUUGAGUGAGAACUCUUGUAAGCAAGAACUCAUAUUGAUUCUUGCGAGUGAUCCAAUAGAAUUUGGUGAGGACUGAGAGUUUGUAAUUCUUUUCUGCGAUUGAUUCAAUAAUAUAGCUAAUUCUCCCGUGGACGUAGGGUUUAAAUCCCGAACCACGUAAAUCUCGACUUGUUAUUUUUAGUUUCGCAUUUGUUCAUCACAAAUUGGCGCCGUCUGUGGGAAUCUACUUCCACCGCCGAUUGAUCGAUACAUUUCUGGGGGGAGCGGAUCCACGAUGACAACGACGAGAUUUGAUGCGGAGAAAUUCUCUGGGAAAAAUGAUUUUGCGCUGUGGAGACUUAAGAUGAAAGCGAUGCUGGUUCAGCAAGGACUCGCCGACGCUCUGAAACCACCGCCGAAGAAAGAUGUAGAGGCGGAUAGCAAAUCCACCGAGGCGGCGGCGAUCAAGAGGGCUGAGAUAAUGGAGAAGGCGCACAGUGCUGUCAUUCUAUGCCUCACAGACAAAGUUUUGCGCGAAGUGGCAAAAGAAACCACUGCAGCUGGGAUCUUGGAUAAAUUGGAGAGUUUGUAUAUGACGAAAUCUUUAGCUAAUCGUCUAUACAUGAAGCAUCGCCUCUACUCAUACAAGAUCGUGGAGGAAAGGGGGAUUGCGGAGCAGCUAGAUGAGUUCAACAAAUCCAUUGAUGACCUAGAAAACAUUGACGUACAAAUAGAAGAUGAAGACAAAGCAAUAAUGCUCUUGAAUGCAUUACCAAAAAGCUAUGAUCAAUUGAAAGAUGCGAUGCUUUAUGGAUGUGAGAACUCUAUCACUCUCGAGGAAGUUCAAAACGCCCUUAAGGCAAAGCAAUUACAAAAGCAAAUCAAUGGGGGCUCAAUAGAUCCAGCAGGAGAGAGCUUGAAUGUAAAGAAAUUCAAGUCAAAGAAAACCAAGAAACCAGAAAAUCAGUCCAAGAAACAGGCCCCUCAACCGAAGGGCAAAGAUGCUGAUCAAAAGGAAACAAGAAAAUGUCAUUGGUGCCAUAAGCCUGGGCAUCUGAUGAAAGAUUGCUAUUCUUUCAAGAAGAAGCAGUCAAAAGAAGGCCAGAAAGUCGACUCCACAGAUGUUGCAGAGGAGUUUGAGCAGGCUGAAAUGUUAAAUGUCAUGGAUGGAGGUGUGGAAGGGGUCUGGAUCAUGGAUUCGGCCUGCAGUUUUCACAUGACCUCACACAAAGAAUGGUUCACAGACAUUCAGGAAGCAGAGAGAGGAUCAGUUUUGCUGGGAAACAACCAAGUAUGCAAGGUCAGAGGAAUUGGAAAUAUUAAGAUGAAAAUGCAUGAUGGUUCCCUUAAAAUUUUAACUGAUGUUAGAUACAUUCCUGAGAUCAAAAGGAAUCUUAUUUCUCUUGGUAUGCUUGAAGCCAAGAGUUAUAUUUUUCAUUCUGAGAAAGGUCACAUAUAUGUUAGUAAGGAUGCUAAAGUUGUUAUGAAGGGAAUUAGAAAGAAUCAACUUUAUUAUCUUGAAGCUACUGUGGUGUCUGGGACCUCAAAUGCUGUUAUGACAGUCAAUAUGGAUCUAUGGCAUAUGAGACUAGCUCAUGUAAGUGAAAAUGGUUUAAGAGAAUUGAUGAAGCAAGGCCUGAUAAAAGUAGAUGGUCCUAAGAAUCUUGGAUCCUGUGAUCAGUGCAUAUUGUCAAAGAGUAAGAAAGCACCUUUCAAAGUUGGUAAACAUACAUCAAUGGCUCCCCUAGAUUAUGCUCACUGUGAUCUUUGGGGCCCUACACAAACUGUAUCCAUUGGAGGUGGAAGAUGGUUCAUGAGUAUCAUAGAUGAUUUUUCUAGAAAGCUUUGGUUGUUUGUAUUGAAAGACAAGACCGAAGCCUUCAAGAAGUUCAAAGAUUGGUGUAUUGAGGUUGAGGUGGAGAAAGGCACUACUCUUAAGUGUCUAAGAACAGACAAUGGAUUGGAAUU
RNAcentral lists this long non-coding RNA (38418 nucleotides) under Salvia miltiorrhiza (redroot sage). RNAcentral describes it as "long non-coding RNA (SMIL_LNC007640)". The record is from RNAcentral. Lineage: Eukaryota; Viridiplantae; Streptophyta; Magnoliopsida; Lamiales; Lamiaceae.